This 32094-nucleotide long non-coding RNA is filed under the name Triticum aestivum (bread wheat). RNAcentral describes it as "long non-coding RNA (TAES_LNC016397)". The record is from RNAcentral. Lineage: Eukaryota; Viridiplantae; Streptophyta; Magnoliopsida; Poales; Poaceae.
CUCUGUGGCCUCGAGCACCUAUGGGGCACUGGGGGCCCCUUCUGGUUCGGCAAGGGAGCGGGGGUCGUGCGCAGAGCAGAUCGAGGUCAGGCGCGCGCGGGGAGACGGGCAAUCUUUACCCAGCUUCGGGGCUCUCCAGAGAGAUAACACCCCUACUGCUGCCUUGUGUUGUUAUUUGAUCUAGCUCGAGCGUGCGAGCGUAUGGUGGUGCUGUGGGUGUCGAAUGGACCGAACCCCUUCUACGUGCGCAUGGGCCUCCCUUUUAUAGUCUGAAGGGGGUACCCACAGGUGGCAGCGUAGGAAGAGGGGGUAGAAAUGUAAAAGCGCAGGUUGGUACAACAGUGCACAACAGUGCCCCUACCUAACUCUGACGGCAGGGGACAAGGGCAUUAAAUGCCCGUCCGGUCGCCCCAACAGUGCAGGAGGAGUGACCGUUAAGUGAGCCACCGGUUGCCACGAUGGCGCCUCUGUCAGCUCCGUUUGCCACCUCGCUCCGCAUGGCUGUGUAGCGCCUCGCCACGUGCCCUUGGGAUGGCCCUGCGAUGACACGUCGCUGGGUGCGCUGGAGUCUGGGUGGCAGCCUUGCCGCGGCAAGUGCCUUGCCGCGGCCCUGUUCUUGCUGUGCCGGCAAGCUUGCCGGCUGCCGGGCCUUGCCGGGGCGCGCGGGGCGCCGCGGCAAGUCUUCUGAUGGUGCCCUGGUUGGCCUUCCCGGCAAGCUCCUCUUGCCGGGGCCUUCGUGUUCUUGGCUAGUACAUUGUUCUUGAUUGGCAGUAAUAAGGAGUGGUGGAGAGCCUUGCCGAGCGUCCGGCAAGCCUCGCCGCGGGGUGCUGCGACUGCCCGUGCACAAGUUCGGGGUACUAAGGUACCCCCCUACUUUAGUACACCGACAGGAGCCCCCGGGCCUGGGCCAUACAUGGUGCCGAGCGUUGUUGGGCCAGGCCCAAAACAAUGCAUGGGCACGCGUGGCCUGGGUUCGCACGGCAACGGGCUCCGCGCCCACCGCGCUCCCCCGCAACAGCACGCGUCGAUUGCGGCGUCGUGGGAGACAUGGGUGGCGUUUGCGAUCUUCAAGGCAUCCUCCCUCGUGAUCAUGGCGCAGGGCGAGGUCGCUUCACCCGUCGCCCCGGCUCCUGCUUUUUCGCCACGCGGCUCACAUGCGCGGGGGAUCAUGGGCGGCGAAGGUGGGAGACCGAGCCGUCACGGGCGGAGAUGGCGAGUCGGCCCCGCUCCUCUGCCCUCCUCGCUCCCUGAUUGGCUGACCGGGGCGGCUGAGCCCCCACCUCGUCCUUUAAAAGGGGUGGAAGGGGAGCACAAUAGUCUCGCACUUCCUCUUCUCCCUUUGUCUUCAAUUUCCGCUACUCUUCUCCCCAUCUGCCAUGGAGGGAGGGAAUCCUGGUCCUUCAACGGUGGCAGCGAGGGUCGCCUCCAGGCAGCGCACCUCUCCCUAUCCCGCACCUGUGGUGGCCGAGCCAGCCACGAGGGGCAGAGGGAGAGGGCGAGGCCGCGGACGAGGUCGAGGACGCGGUCGAGGCGGCCGGGGCGAUGCGCCUCCCCCGUCUCCGCCAGCGGCUCCUUUCCUCGAGGCAGUCCACUCCGGAGACGAUCCCUGGGAGUUCUUCAUCAAGCUGCGCCGAGCACCUCGUCGCCGUCUCCGGCUGCCGGCCCCGUUCGCGAGCGCAAUGGAGCCGGAUCCGCCCGAGAUGUUGGAGUUGCGCAUGAGGGGCUGCGGGAUCAGCGGCACUCGAGUGAGUGUCGUAUCCCCAGCCCCCGGCGUGAUGUACUUCGACCGAGGGUGGAAGACGUUCGCCCGCAUCCACAGCUUGACGGCGGGGUUUACCCUCCAUUUUAAGUUAAUGGAGGGCGACCUUCUCGCCGUCAAGGUCUUCGGGGACUCCGGCACCCGGGCGAGAUGCUGUGUGGACAGCUCCUCCGAUAGCGAAGGUCCCUCCUCGAGCGAGAGUGACGAGGAGGGGAGCGACAGCGACGACGACGAGGAUGGCGGGUCCGACUAGGCGUCGGACGCUGCCUCGCGCGCCACCGGAGACCCCAUCAUCCGGGUCGCCGGCCUUCUGAACUCCCCGGGGCCGUCUCCUUGGGCGGCUGGCGUAGGGAGGCUGCGGAAGAGGAAGAGGGGUGGCGGCAAGGCCGUCAAAUCGGAGUACGAGGGCGAGGAGCCCUCGACAGCGUGCUGACGUCCCGCCGCCCCGUCUUCGAGCUCUGCCUCCGGCGCCUCCGUCUCCGCCAAGCCCCUGACCGGCCUCCGGGAAGUUCUCUUGGUGUCUUCUGGCGCUCGUAGCUCUCCUAGGCGCCCCUUUCGCCCUCCCCGGCAAGCUUCUCUUGCCGGGGACUCCUUGACCUACCUCCUGAACAGAGAAACAGGAGGGGGAUUACGGGCACCUUAUCUUUUAAUUUGUAAGCCUUCGGGCCUUAGCUGCAUUUAAAAUCUGUAAUCCUCUCUAUCAUGUUUUUCAUCCUCUUAUGGACUUGUACUAAACUGGGAUAUUUUUAAUGAAAAAGAGGGGAAUGCUUGCCGGACUAAGUCCUUUACUUGAUUUUGUGCUUUGUACAUUCCCACCCUACGCUUCUAGGGGACUUGCCGGAGCGAACACACUUGCUGAGUGCGGGACGUCAGCAGCCCGCUGGCGGUGUUGCUUCCGGCAAGAAACCUUGUCGGGCCAGUUGCAGCGCGCUUGUGUCAUUGAGCGGACUCGGAAACAAACCAAGGGCGCAACUUGGCCGCGACUCGGCUCCUCCGCGCACAGGUUUCUUUUUACAAAGCACACUCGUUCAAGGACGCGGCCCCGCCUUCCCCGGUCCACAAGAGGAUGCAUGACGAGGGAUGAGAAACUUAUCUGACUCCGUAGCUCCCCGGCGACCUUGGUUUGCCGGGGGAGGAACCUUGGCCUUCGCAGCCCCCAGCAACUCUGGCUCCGGCAAGACCCAGGUGCUGGUAUGCCUUCUUUGGCUCUUGUCGCCGAUGCCGCGGCCUCCGGGGGCCCUUGCCCAUCGCAAAGGAGCUUUGGCACUCGCAGCCCCCAGCGAAGCUGGCUUGUCGGGGCCUGUGUGCCAGCGCGCCCUUCUGGCUUCUCCUUGUCACUGUAAUCAUAGCCACGAAAACAACUGAGAUAGCGCUGUAAUAAGCUAUUCUUUCAUGGUGUGACUCUACCACGCGAUGCCAUGCUUUGCCCUUCGUAUGUUCACACUCUACGCUUCUAGGGAACUUGCCGGGGCUAACACACUUGCUGAGUGCGGAACAUCAGCAGCCCGCUGGCGGUGUUGUUUCCGGCAAGAAACUUUCUCGGGCCAGUUGCAGCGCACUUGAAUUGUCGAGCAGACUCGGAAACAAAUCAAGGAUGCAACUCAGCCGCGAGUUAGUUCCUCCGCGCACAAGUUUCUCAUACGAAGGCUGCCCCAUGUGUCGGGGGUUGGGUGCGACAUAUGCCAACGGGUGGCUUAUCAUGGUGGGGGCGAGUAGAACGUCGCUGGUGCCUGGAAACGGGAUGAGGCGAAGACAUGCACGUCGGCGAAUCUUACCCAGCUUCGGGGCUCUCCGAGGAGAUAACACCCCUACUGCUGCUCUGCGGGGUCUCCGCAUGAUCACUAUGGUGCGAUAGUACAAUGGUGCUCCUCGAGCUGUGUGGAGGCAGGAAGGAGCAAGGCUAGCUCUUUCCCUUCUUCUAUAUGUCUAAACCUAUCCAGGGCCGAACCCUUUGCAUGGGUGCCCCGGGGGGUUUAUAUAGGCCUACCCCCCGGGGGUACAAUGGUAAUCCGUCUGGGCGUGGCCCCCAGUCGUCAGUCUCUCUUGCAGCCGUCCUCCCUGCCGGCUUCUGGGGCCCGCCGACUGGCGGGCCCCGCGGAUAGGCAGAACGCUGUGCAGCGCUCUUGAUGACGCAGGCCCGGUCAUGGGGUCGUGGGAACAGUGCCACCGUCUGUCAGGCGAUCACUGUCGCCACUCCCCGUCCAAUCUGGUUUAUGGCUUGUGGGGCCAUGGCCGGGAGGCGGCCGACUCUGGGGAAGCCGACUCCCGUAGGGCCGUCUUCGGACUCUCCGGCCGUCUUCCUCUAUCUCACUGACGGGGGGCCUGGCGAUCUCUGGGCCGUACGCGCCGCCGUCGUGGGCACAGUGCCUUGUGCACUGUGGCUGAGGUCAAGGGAGGCAUGGCGACAGUGCCGCGCCUCACCGGAGAUCUCCUGGUGAUGCGGCUCACUGUACCCAUGUCUUCUUCCCGUGGGUCCAAGGGGACAGCCACGAUGGGGCUGUACCCCGCAUCAGUCUUCGUGAAAGGUCGCGGGCCGACUCUCACAGUCGGCCCCUUGAGAGGUCGCAAGCCAGGAGUCGGCUUGUUUCAGAGUCGCCAUCUGAGGACUCUGCUUCUUCGAAGGUCGCCAGCUGGGACUCGGCCUUCUCGAAGGUCGCCCACCGGGACUCGGCCUUCUCAAAGGUCGCCAGCUGGGACUCGGCUGAGGGGCGCGGCCUGCCCCGAUGUCUUGAAAGAUCUUGGGUCCUGGGUCAGCCUACCGAUGGCCCAUUACUCCGACAGUAGUCCCCGAAGCUGGCGAAGCCCGGCGGGCGCCGCCUCGUGGGGCUUCGGCAGUUUCAGUCUCUGCGGUGCCGACUCUGAGAUUCGGCUGCCGCAUCUUCGGGCCGCCUCGUUGGAGUCGGCCUGGCCCCGUGAGGGGCCGCCGCUCGCAAGUCGUGGCGGGAAACCAGCGGCGUAUCGGCUACGCUUCCCUGCCAUCCAUGAGACGGUCCUAUCACGCGACGCCACGUGGAGGCGAUAGCCUGCCUGCCCACGCGCGUGACGGGACGGGCCGCCAGGUGGGGCCCGCCAUUACCGCGCCUCGGCUCCCGAGCGGAUCCGCUGUGGCCGAGGGCGGUUGGCAUCCCCACGUGGUUACUGCGGGCAGUAACUGCGUGGGGGGUUAAUCGUGGGGCGUCGUGGGGUCGUGGGCGCAGUUAAUCCCCACGUCGCCCCCUCGGCUUCUCAGCCCGCUGGGCUAUAAAUAGGCAGAGGGGGAGCGGCGGCAUAGCACGCGCAUUCCCUCCCCCGCCCUCUUGCCUUUCUUCUUCCUUCGCCCCGCUCCGUCGCUUUCUUCCUCGCCGACGAUGAGCUCUUCCUCCGCCGCGCCCCCCGUCUCGCGCUCCGGCGAAUGGGAUGGCUCAGACGUGGAUGCGGAGGACAUCGAGUUCCUUCGCCGAACCCGCCGCCUCCCGAGCGCGGAUUUGGUGCAGGCCCGCCCUGCACCGGCGGGAGAGAUCCGGCCCGCGCCGGUGGCGGGCGAGCGGGUCAUCUUCCGCUCGCAUCUUAUGCGCGGGAUGGGGCUCCCGGCGAGCGGGUUCCUCCGCUCGUUCCUCGAGUUGUAUAACUUGCAGCUGCACCACCUCACCCCCAAUGCGGUGGUGCUUCUCUCCGCCUUCGCCACACUGUGCGAGGGCUACAUCGGCGUUCUCCCCACCCUCGAGCUGUGGGGGGAGUUCUUCUCUUCGAAGCUCGGCACUCAGGCUGCCGGCACGCCGGCGCAGUGCGGUACCUACAUCGCGUCGCGGCGCACGACGGCCGACAACCCCUUUCCGCCCAUCCCGCUGGUGAAGUCGGUGAAGAUGUGGCAGAAGACGUACUUCUACGUGAAGAACGUCGCCACCGACGGCGACUGGGUCAACUUGCCGCCCUUCAACUCCGAGCCGCUGACUGGCCGGCCGCCUAGCUGGUCCCAUCGGUCGAAGUCGCUUUCGCCCUCCGGAGUCGGCGCCGUGGCGCGCCUCCGAGUCAUGACGCAGUCGGAGGGGCUCAUCGCCUCCGAUCUCCUGGACGCCUUCGUGGCGCGCCGGGUUCUUCCGCUCCAAGGCCGGCCCCACCUCAUCUGUCAGAUGAGCGGCCGACACGAUCCAAGCCGGCUGUGCACCAAGGACAUGCCGCGUGGAGAAGUGGCGAACAUGGUGAACCUCAUCGCCCACUGCAAGUUCACCGACGAGUGGCAGUUCGGCAAGGAGCCGUACUCGCGUGACAACCCUCCGCCAGUGGUAAGUUGUUUCCGUCUGUACUUCGAUCUUGCUUGUAUCUGCCUUCAAACUCUGAUCUUGUUGGCACCUUUGAGCAGAAUCCUCUCACGGCGCCCGCUGCCGGCGCCCUGAGAGAGCCGCGUGAGUACGUCCCCGACCGCGAGGUCAGCGACAUCGACGACCCCGACUUGGGGGCCGCGGCGCUGGAGGCCGACGCCGAAGGCGGCGGAGAGGAAGAAGACGGCGGCCUCAGACCGUCGGCGACCUUCGCCGACUGGCCCGAGGGCGACAUCGACGCGGAAGUCAUCCCGCGCCGCCAGCCAAGAGCCGGCCCCUCCAACCAGGCCGGCGCAAAGAGGCGUCACGCCGGGCCGAGUGCGCCCGGCGGCAGGUCGAAGAAGCCCAGGGGAACCGCCGCCGCGACCAAGCGGGAAGAGGCGGCCGCGAAAGCCAACCGCUUCCGGAAGGAAGUGAAAAGGCCGCCACUUGUUUCUUCGUAAGUCCCUUACCCUUUGUCCCUUUUCUGACUUUGCUUGAAUCUUCCUGACUUUCCCCCCCUUUCUUCUCCAGCGCCCCCCUCUCCCUUGAGAGAGCCGCCAUGCCCUCUGUCAUGGGGUCGGGGGCAACGUCCGCCAAUACGCGGCGGGUCGAUCCCGCCGCCGACCUCCGGGAGGCGACGGAACGGAACGCGCGGGAGAAGCGUGCGGAGGAGGAGGCCGACCGCCUGGAGAAGGCGGCCGCCAACGCCCAGCGGCAUCUGGAUGAGGCCGUGGCCGCGGCCGCGGCCGCGGCAAAGCGGGAUGCUGAGGAGGCCGUUCGUCGCCGAGCGGCGAUGCUCGUUCCUCCGCUGUCGUCAGCGCCGCCGCCCCCCGAGUUCACGGGGCAGACCGGGGAGGUCGGCACCGCAAACCCUCUCGCGAAGGAUGGUGACGACGCCUCGGGCUCGGACACCCACGCGCCGCCUCCGCUACCUCCGCCGCCUCCGUCUUCGAGGCCGCACGGUAAGCAGCCGGUGGACCCGCAGGAUCCGCCGACUGCGGACGACGCCGAUGCGCAGCUGCUUCUCCAGGUCGCCGUGCCGACACGCCGCCGGGUCGAGAGGACGAGCUCCGCGUCGCGAGCUCGGGAGACUGACGUCGCCGGCAUGGCGAACCUGGUUGCUGAAGCCUCCAGUGCCGUGCCCACCGGCUGGGUGCGCAAAGGCGGCACCGGCCCGCUGAACUAGGCGCUUCUGGACGUUCAGUCCAAGUUGCGCAAAGAAGGCGACGCCCUCCAGCUCUACACCAAGACGCAUCUGGCCCUGCGGGCCUCCGUCCGGGUAUGCUUUGUUUUUUCCUUUUUUUGGUCUCUUGUCUUUUUCUGUGGGGGCGCGCCAGCGCACCCACUGGGUGUAGUCCCCGAGUUCGGAGUCGGCUGCUGAGCAGGCGGCUCAGAACUCCUUCUAGCGGGCUCCGAAGGCUGACUUUGCUUUGCCGGCCUUGCAGGAGUACCACAAUCUCCGCGCUACUGCCUUCAACCGCAACGUUGAGGAGAUGAGGAAGCGGACCGCCGAUCUGGCGGAAAGUCGAGGUGAGCGGAUUCUUCCUUCUUCGUGGGGGCGUGCUGGCGCACCCGCGGGCUGUAGUCCCCGAGAUUCGGGCCGACUGCUGAGCGGUCGGGCUGGAUCUCUCCGGCGACCUUCUUUCUUUCUUCUCCGCGAGGGCGUGCUGGCGCGCCCGCAGGCUGUAGUCCCCGAGAUUCGGGCCGACUGCUGAGCAGUCGGGCCGGAUCUCCCCGGCGACCUUCUUUCUUUCUUCUCCGCGGGGGCGCGCUGGCGCGCCCGCGGGCUGUAGUCCCCGAGAUUCGGGCCGACUGCUGAGCAGUCGGGCCGGAUCUCCCCGGCAACCUUCCUUAUUGACGAUGCUUUGUCUUUCUUUGAGCUUCAGACGCCAAUGCCGCCCUUCAAGGGCAGCUGGAUGAGGCCAAUGCCGCCCGUCGCACUAAGGAGGAGGAGUGCGACAAGCUCGUUCGAGAGCGCGACCUUCUGGCGACGCGGCUGGCCGAGCAGAAGGACCUGCUUCGGAAAGCACAGGAGGACGCCAAGUCGCGGGAAGAGGCCCUCCUAGCCGAGUUCGCGAUGGAGCGGGCCGCCUGGACCGACCGUGAGGCGAUGCUGACCUCCGGCUAUCACGAGCUCGAGGACAUCGUCGAUGGUAACUCCUGGCUUCUUUUCUUUGGUCUUUCGACUCUGUGUCGAACUGUCUUCUGGUUUUUCUGACUGUCUCCUUUUCUUGUCUUUGGCAGACUUCUUCCCCGGCCACUCGCAGGCCGUCCCUCUGGCCAUCGAGGCGGAUCGGGAGGAGCGGAGGGCGCAGGGCGAAGUGAUCGCAGCCAACGCCCCCCGAACCAUUGACGAGCAGCUCUUGAGCAUCGGGGCUCGCCUUCGCCCUGCUCACCGUUUGAUGCGUCGCCUUCAACGCGCCGGCGCCCAAGUCGUUACCGCCCUGUGGCCGGAGGUGCCGGCUCUUCGCAUCGCCAGUCGGACGGCCGACUGGCUGGAGGUCGCCGUCGGUCGCUUCGAAGCUUGGAGGGGCUCCUCGGCCCGCGUCGGAGCACGCCGGGCCCUGGAGUUCGUCAAGGGGUGGUACCCUAGGCUGGAUUUGCCCGCCUGGCCGCGUUCCGGUCAGAGGCCCAGGCCGAGUUGGGGGCCGUGGAAGGCGCCCUUGUCGAGCGCGCGGCGGCCAUCGCCGAGUACACGGACACCAGUGUCUUUGUGCCCGAGCGGACCGCCGACGGCGAGGAGGUUCCGCCCGAGUGGUUCGGGAUGCACCCAGGGUAUGAGGAGGACUCGGCGGAGGUAAUCGGCUCCAGCACCGAGGGGGAGGGCGAGUCGGAGGACGGAGGCGAGGAAGAGGCGCCAGAACACGAAGCAGGCGGCCAACCUCAGCCUGAUCGCGCCCCCAGCAACGAGCCUCGAAAGGACCAGGCGACCGUCGCUGAAGGCGACCAAGCCGAGACCGCCCAGCCGACUGUCCUGACGUCGGACGCCGCCGCCGCCUCCGGCCCUCCGGCUCCGGAGGCCGCCCCCUAGAGUGCAUCAGCUUUACCUGUCUCUUUUGUUCUUUUUUUUUAAAAAAAAUUGUCAGUUGCGAACAAUUCCACCCGCGGGGUGUAUUCGGCCAAGGGCCUUAUGUAAAUAUUUAUCAAAUUUCCGCCUUUCCUUGCUUUGGCUCUUUAGACUUUUUUCCUUUGCCGCCUUCCUUCGGUUGCCGCCUUGCCGACUGGGCAGCCGCUCUGCGGACUGCCGCUGGGUCAAGCGCUCAGCUACUUUAGGAGGCAAGUACUUAGUCGUUUAGAACGCCGUAGCAAGUUUGGCUGGAGAUCGACAGGCCGACUCUCGAAAGUCGGUCGUCCUUGAUAAAGGUUGAAACUAUGAGCCGACUGCUCGUGAGUCGGCUCAGCAGGGGGAAACUGGGAGCCGGCUUGGGCUAUGCGUAGCUCUUAAGUCCUUAGCCGUUUUUCAUGUGUGCGCUCGCUCUUUCUAUCUCCCCGUUUACCGACAGUCGCUCUGCGAGCUGCGGCUUUCCGUAGGAGACGGCUUUGAGCGCAACACAUUACUUGUCUGACCUCAAAGAGCAUUUCAUAGCACAAGGCGGCGAGUCCCCGGGCCGACUAGUCGGACCCGGUGCCAGAUAGUAUGAUAAAAAAGGAGGAAGCAUUUCGGAAGCCAGAUCCAUAUCAUACAGAUAAUCAAAAAGGCAGUCCCCGAGCUUGUCUCGGGGGGCCUAAGGUCUUAGUACUUAAUACAAAAAAAGGGGGGUAGCGUGAUACAUACUGCAUCAACUGUAAAAUCUUCGAAGAAGAUUUGCGUUCCACGGGCGCUCUGUUUCUUUGCCAGAGUCGUCUCUCUUGCAUGCUCGAGGCUUCUGAGCGUCGAUCAAGUAGUAGGCGUCGUUCCCUAGCACCUUGCUGAUGAUGAAGGGACCCUCCCAAGGCGCCGACAACUUGUGCUGGCCGGCUGUUCUCUGAAUCAACCGGAGCACAAGGUCGCCCUCUUGGAAUGUUUGCGUAAUUGGCGUCCCAGUCGCCGGAUGACUGCUGAACCACCAAGUCGGAGUCGCCAUAGCAUAGGAUCCGGCGAAUGCCAAGUUCCUUGGCAAGCCGGAGCCCGUGGAUGAGCGCUUCAUAUUCGGCGACGUUGUUGGAGGCGGCGAAGUGGAUUUGCAGCACGUAUUUGAGCUUGUCGCCCUUAGGGGAGGUGAGGACGACGCCGGCUCUGAGGCCGGAGCGCAUCUUGGAGCCGUCGAAAUGCAGUCGCCAAUGAGUAGAGUCGGGCGCAGGCGGCAAGUAUUGAGUCUCGGCCCAGUCGACGAGGAAGUCGGCUAGCGCCUGCGACUUGAUGGCGGUGCGAGGUUGGUAGUAGAUGGUGUAGGGAGCCAGAUCGAUAGCCCACUUGGCCACUCGGCCAGAAGCAUCUCGACUUCCGAUGAUCUCGGCGAGUGGGGCGGUGCAGACCACGGUGAUUGGAUGCUCUUGAAAGUAAGGCUUCAGCUUCUUGGCGGCAAAAUGCACGCCGUAGCACAUCUUCUGGUAGUGAGGGUAGUUCUGCUUGGAGGUCGACAGUACCUCGCUCAGGUAAUAUACUGGUCUCUGGACCGGGAGCGCCUUGCCUUCCUCCUUGCGGUCGACUACAAUAACUGUGCUGACUACCCGGCUGGUGGCGGCGAUGUAUAAGAGCAUGGGCUCUUUGGGAGUCGGAGCCGCCAACACAGGGGGAGUCGCCAGCAUCUUCUUCAGUUGGAGAAAUGCCUCAUCUGCCUUGUGGUUCCACUCGAAAAAAGUGGUCUUCUUCAUCAGUUGAUACAAUGGCAGAGCUUUCUCGCCCAGCCGACUGAUGAAUCGGCUUAUUGAAGCCAAGCAGCCGGUGAACUUUUGCACAUCCAACAGUCGGCUGGGUACCUCCAAACUCUCUAUGGCCUUGAUCUUCACAGGGUUGCACUCUAUUCCGCGUUCGGAGACCAGAAAACCAAGGAGCUGGCCGGCUGGGACUCCGAACACGCAUUUCUCUGGGUUGAGCUUGAUCUGGAAUCGGCGCAGAUUCUCAAAGGUCUCUUUAAGAUCCUCUAGCAGCGUCCCACGCUUCUCCUUCUUUACCACCACAUCAUCCACAUAAACAUGGGCAUUCCUGCCGAGUUGCUUGAGGACGCAUUUCUGCAUGCAACGCUGAAAGGUGGCGCCGGCAUUCCUCAAGCCGAACGUCAUCGUCAGGUAGUAGAAGGCUCCAAACGGCGUGAUGAAUGCGGUCUUUAGUCUGUCCGCUGGAUUCAGCUUGAUCUGGUGAUAUCCUGAGUAUGCAUCCAAGAAGCUCAACAGCUCGCAUCCGGCUGUGGAGUCUAUCACUUGAUCGAUCCUUGGCAGAGCAAACGGAUCCUUCGGGCAGGCUUUGUUGAGGCUGGUGUAGUCGAUGCACAUCCGCCAUUGCUUGUUCUUCUUCAGCACUAGUACGGGGUUGGCCAACCAUUCCGGAAAAAACACCUCCAUGAUGAAGCCGGCUGCCAGGAGCCGGGCUAUCUCUUCUCCCACUACUCUUCUUUUCUCUUCUGAUAGGCGGCGCAAAGGCUGCCUGACGGGCUUCACAUCCGGCCUGACAUGUAGCUUGUGCUCGGCGAAUUCCGUCGGUACACCUGGCAUGUCCUUGGGGGACCAUGCGAAGAUGUCCCGAUUCUCACGGAGGAAAUCGACGAGCUCGCCUUCCUAUUUGCUGUCGAGGCCAAUGCCCAUGACAGCGUACCUCUCUGGGUGCUCCGGGUCCAAGGGUAUCUUCUUGGUUUCUUUAGCCGGCUUGAAUGAUCCUUCUGCCUCCGACUCCUUGGGGUCGGGCGACAUCUCCGGCUGCUUCCCAGCCAUCGCCACGACGCGAUCAAGGAGCCGCUUCUCGGCUGCGAUCACCAAAGACUCGGCCAGCCGACUGCUCUCAGCCGCACAGGCGGACGACUUCUUGUAGUCGCCGGCAACGGUCAGGAUCCCCUUGGAGGUCGGCAUCUUCAUCUUGAGGUAGGCGUAGUGGGGAACCGCCAUGAAUUUGGCCAAGGCAGGCCGACCUAGCAGCGCGUCGUACGGGCUCUCCAAAUCCACCACCUCGAACCAGAUCGGCUCUCGGCGGAAGUGAUCUUUGUCUCCGAAGAGGACGUCUAUCAGGAUCUUGCCAAUCGGCGAACAGGAGAGGCCAGGUACGAUUCCAUUGAACACGGUGCGGCUGCUCUACAGCUGCCUCCGCCUGAUUCCGAGCUUCUCCAUGGUGUCCUUGUACAUGAUGUUUAUGCUGCUGCCUCCGUCUAUCAGGACCCGCGAGAAACGGGCGGCCCGCCUAUCAGUGGCCAAGGUUGCACCAAGAACCAAGGCGUAAGAGCCCGGGCUCGGCAUCACCUCUGGGUGAUCUGCCCGACUCCAGCUGAUAGGCUUCUCGGACCAAUGCAUGAACUCAGGAGCUUCUGCUGCUACUGCGUUGACUUCUUGCUGCUGCUGGCGCCUGCUGCGCCGAUCAUCUGCCAGACUGGUGAACACUAUGUAUGCUCCGUGCUCUUCUGGGAACUCGUCUUGGACCGCGCCGACUGGCCGAGCCACCGGCUGCGGAGGCGGCGGAGGCCCUACAGGCGGCGGAGGGGCGAGGCCGUCUCCCUUGGUGAUCUGGACGAGCCAGUGGCACUUUCUGGUGGUAUGGUUUGAUGGUUUCGCGCCGCUGUGAAACUUGCAAGGACCAUCCAGAGUCUGCUCAUAAGAGAAAGCCGGCAACCAAUUGGACUUGCCGCCCUUCUGCCGCUUGGCCGGAGGCUGCCCCUCUAGUUGCUGAUCUUCUACUGCUGCGACCUGCCGACUGUUGGAAGUCGGCUGGGGGGCUUUGCGCUUGUUGUCGUUCUGUUGCUGCCGUCGGCUGGCGUCUCCAGCCGGCGUUCUGGGAGCCUGGGGAGUCACCUUGCCAGCUGCGUUGACUUGGAUCUCCGUCUUCAUAGAGGAGUCGGCCGUGGCGUACUUGUCUGCUAUGAUUAGCAGUUCGUCGAGGGUUUCGGGCUCGUCGCAGAGGAGCUUGUGCUUGAGGAGGGUGCCCUCUCGGCACCCGGCCGUAAAGUACUCAAUGGCCUGCACCUCGUGCACGCCCUCGCAGGAGUUUCGGAGCUCGCCCCAGAGCGUGAGAUAGUCGCGCGUCGAUUCCUCGGGGCCUUGCACGCACAAGGAGAGCUGGCGCGGCUUGGGAGGUCGCUUGUACGUGCUGGUGAAGUUGCGAAUGAAGGCUUCAGUGAAGUCGACCCAGCUGUUGAUGCUGCGGGGCUUCAGGCUGUUCAGCCAUGUCCGGGCCGUGCCCUGGAGCAUGAGGGGAACAUACUUUAUGGCGACUCGCUUGUUGCCGUUGGCGAUGUUGACGGCUGUGGAGUAGUCUAUCAGCCAGUCCUCCGGCUUCACGGAGCCGGUGUAUUUGGGCGUAUCUCGAGGGAGCGUGAACUCUUUGGGGAAGGGCUCAUUUCUGAUGCGGGGCCCAAAGCAAGGCGGACCCAGCUCGUCUUCUUCUUCUAACGCCAGGGAUCUGUGGAGUCGGUCGAUCCGGUGGCGGGCAUCGUUCUCUCCGACUCCCUCUCGGCGGCCAAGGCGAUCUCCGAGAGUCGGAUGCUCAACAGGCGGCGGAGAGACUCGCCGUUCUCUUCGGGGCGGGGGAGGCAGAUAAUCAUCUCGUCGCUCCACUGCUCUGGGGCGGCCAUCUUGGUCGCGCUCGAUGGAGAUGCGAGUCCGGCUGCGGCUCGUAGCCGGCUCCUUCUCUUUCCUCCCGCGGACUCCGCCAGUCGGCGUCCGGGAGGUCGCGCCUUGAUCUCGGCGAGGGGGUAAGUCAUCAUUCUGCUGCUGCUGCAUGUUGGCGCGGCCGCCUGCCGCGUUCUGCGCAGCAACCGCGUCGAGGAGCUGCUGGACUCGCUCCGUCAUCACACGGCGCUCUUCGCCUUCGAGGUUCCUUAGCUCUUCGGUUGCCGCUUGGGCGGCGCGGAUGUUCUCCACAGGGGUGGCGUAUACGGGGCGCUUCGCUCCGAAUAGAUCGGCUAUGGCCGCGCCGCGCUCUCGGACCACACCGAGACGGCUCGGCCCAGUAGGAGCCGGCGAGCCGCCCACAGCACGGUCCAUCUCGCGCUGAUAUGCUUCGGACAAGCGUCUCAUGCUUGCCAACUUCUUGGCGCCUUCAAUGAUCUGAAGGCGGCGCUCUUCCAGCAUCUCUGCGUCCGCGUCCUCUGGGAGGGGCGCGGACAGGUCCUGCAGGGCCGCAGGCAGCGGGUCCUGGGCGUUUUCACCGGAGUGCUCGUCGUGGCCGAUGACGAGCAUCUCCGUGACGGCGCUUCCGUCGCUCUCCUCGUACGGAAGCGGCUCGUCGUAAACCACCACGUUGGUGGGGAAGGUAUCAAGCGAUACGGCGUCGGAGUCGACCAGCAUCGGGUCGGAGGAGCCUACGGACUCCAAGUCUACGGCGGGCUCGCCGGCGACUUGAAGUUGGUCGAGGAGGCCCGCGAGAAGGUUCUCGGGGCCACCCGCGCCUGCGCUCGGCACGGGUUCGUCGGAGAGGCGCACCUCGCCGAUGAGUUCGGCGAGGCCGCUCGCUGCGCAGGCGGCUUCGGCGCCGCGCAGUGCGUCGAUGCAGACUCCAUCUGGCGAGCCGGGCUGGCUGCGCUCGCCAGGGAGGAGGGUUCCCGUCCAGAACAGAUCUCCGGACGACGGUGCACCUCGCCCCACGGUGGGCGCCAAAUGUCGGGGGUUGGGUGCGACAUAUGCCAACGGGUGGCUUAUCAUGGUGGGGGCGAGUAGAACGUCGCCGGUGCCUGGAAACGGGAUGAGGCGAAGACAUGCACGCCGGCGCAUCUUACCCAGCUUCGGGGCUCUCCGAGGAGAUAACACCCCUACUGCUGCUCUGCGGGGUCUCCGCAUGAUCACUAUGGUGCGAUAGUACAAUGGUGCUCCUCGAGCUGUGUGGAGGCAGGAAGGAGCAAGGCUAGCUCUUUCCCUUCUUCUAUAUGUCUAAACCUAUCCAGGGCCGAACCCUUUGCAUGGGUGCCCCGGGGGGUUUAUAUAGGCCUACCCCCCGGGGGUACAAUGGUAAUCCGUCUGGGCGUGGCCCCCAGUCAUCAGUCUCUCUUGCAGCCGUCCUCCCUGCCGGCUAGUCGGCGGGCCCCGCGGACAGGCAGAACGCUGUGCAGCGCUCUUGAUGACGCAGGCCCGGUCAUGGGGUCGUGGGAACAGUGCUGCCGUCUGUCAGGCGAUCACUGUCGCCACUCCCCGUCCAAUCUGGUUUAUGGCUUGUGGGGCCCUGGCCGGGAGGCGGCCGACUCUGGGGAAGCCGACUCCCGUAGGGCCGUCUUCGGACUCUCCGGCCGUCUUCCUCUAUCUCACUGACGGGGGGCCCGGCGAUCUCUGGGCCGUACGCGCCGCCGUCGUGGGCAUAGUGCCUUGUGCACUGUGGCUGAGGUCAAGGGUGGCAUGGCGACAGUGCCGCGCCUCACCGGAGAUCUCCUGGUGACGCGGCUCACUGUAGCCAUGUCUUCUUCCCGUGGGUCCGAGGGGACAGCCACGAUGGGGCUGUACCCUGCAUCGGUCUUCGUGAAAGGUCGCGGGCCGACUCUCACAGUCGGCCCCUUGAGAGGUCGCAAGCCAGGAGUCGGCUUGUUUCAGAGUCGCCAUCUGAGGACUCUGCUUCUUCGAUGGUCGCCAGCUGGGACUCGGCCUUCUCGAAGGUCGCCCACCGGGACUCGGCCUUCUCAAAGGUCGCCAGCUGGGACUCGGCUGAGGGGCGCGGCCUGCCCCGAUGUCUUGAAAGAUCUUGGGUCCUGGGUCAGCCUACCCAUGGCCCAUUACUCCGACACCAUGGCAAGGCUUGCUAUGUUACGCCCUCUGCUUCGUUGUAUCCCUUGUACGUUUUUAACCCUACGCUUCUAGGGAACUUGCCGGGGCUAACACACUUGCUGAGUGCGGGACGUCAGCAGCCUGCUGGCGGUGUUGUAUCCGGCAAGAAACCUUCUCGGGCCAGUUGCAGCGCACUUGUAUUGUUGAGCAGACUCGGAAACAAAGCAAGGACGCAACUUAACCCCGAGUUGGUUCCUCUGCGCACAGGUUUUUUUUUGUACAAAGGAUAAACGCUCGAGGGACAUAACACAAGGCUAUAGGACUAAAAAGUGCUCUGUACAAAAGCUCGGGUGACUUAGCUUUUCUGUCUUCAGCAGUCCGACGGGGUCGUACUUCUUCCCUGGUUUCCACCACCCCCUUGUAUGUUUUCUUCCUCACGCUUUCGGGGAACCCUUCGGUGCAAACACGCUCACUGAGCGCAGGGCAUCAGCAGCCCGCUGGCGGUGUUGCCUCCGGCGGGAAGAACUCGGCGGGCUGGUUGCGGUGCGCUCUUACCGUCUAGCGAACUCGAAGCGGAUCUACGGCGCAACCUAACCACGAUUCGACCCCUCUGCCCUCGGGUUCUUCAUACAAGGUGUGGACUUCUAGGAAGCACAAUCUCAAAAGUUCGAAGUUUGGCAGCUUUCUUUGCCUCAUCGGCCGGCAGAGCUCGAUGGCGCGUCCUCGACGGUAGCGCGGUACUCCGGAGAGGCGGGCUUGCCGGAGCGAGCGCCAGAGCUGUUCUCGCCGGGCUUAGCCUUUGGUUGGUCUGCCUUCGCCUUCUCGCACUUGCCGGUGGAGCUCGAUGGUGCAUCCUCGACGGCGGCGCAGCGCUCCGGGGAGGUGCGCUUGCCGGAGUCGGCACCAGAGCUAUUCUUGCCGGACUUGGCUUUCUUCUUCCCCCGGGGAGCUUCAGCGGCAAGUGGCUCGUGCUCUACUGCGGCUGCUGCUUCCCGGUAGAUCUUGUCGGCGCAGAUGAGCGCAUCCCUCUUAUCGCCUUGGACAGAGAUAACACUCAUCGGGCCGGGCAUCUUGAGCACAUUAUACGCGUAGUGAGAGGACGCCAUGAACUUGGCGAGUGUGGGUCGGCCAAGUAUCCUGUUGUAGGGCAAGGGGAUAUCAGCCACAUCGAACGUGACCCUCUCAGUCCUGAAGUUCAGUUCGCUGCCGAACGUUACUGGCAAUGUGAUCUUCCCCUUAGGCUUGCUCCUUCCCGGAUUUAUUCCUUGAAAGGCACCAGUUUCUUCGAGCUCGCUGUUGGGGAUCUGGAGCUUCUUGAGCACUGCGGAGGAAAUCAAGUUCAGGCCGGCCCCGCCGUCAACCAGCAUCUUCGUGACCUUGAGGUUGCGGAUUGUUGGUGAAACCAGCAUCGGCAAGCACCCGACCGCAGUGACACGAUCAGGGUGGUCCUCAACGUCGAAGACGAUGGGCGUGCCGGACCACUUUAGAGGCCUGCGUGCCUCGACGGAUGGCUCCGCUGCAUUCACUUCUCGCACCCAAUGUUUGAGUUGGCGGUGCGAGGUGUGCAGGGAGGCGCCGCCGUCGAGGCACAACACUUCUGUCGCCUUCUGAAACUCUUGAUCAUCAGCCUCGUCUUCCUCCAUCUCUUCAUCCUCAUCUUGAUCUUCGUCUUUGUCGCGGCCGCGGGGAGGCCUGUCUCCUUGCCGCGGCUUAGCCUUGCCGCGGAGUCCCCCCCGGGCGGGAAGCUUCUUGCCGGAUCCUCCGCCACCUCCCUGGGCUCUCUCCUUAUCGCGGCGCUCAUACUCUGCUUUUUGCAGCUCCGCCAUCUGCUCUACUUUUUUGCAGGUUUGGAGAUCAUGGCCUUUGGUGCGGUGAAUCUUGCAAUAACGCUUGCCGGAGCCAUCCUGCUUGUCGGCGGCUGCUACAGCCUCGCUAGAGUCGUCGGUCUUGGCCUUGUCGGAGCCGCCUCCGUUGCCGGAAUGCUCAACAGCUAGCACAUCCUUAGCUUUCCUCUUCCUGUUGUUCCGCCUCCGGUUCUUCCUUGCCGGGGCGGCACCCUCACUGUCAGAUCCUUCUGCUCCGGCAAUCUCUCCGGGGAUUUUCCUCCCCUCCUCAGCUCGUGCACACUUGUCGGCCAGAGCGUAAAGCUCACUGACAUCUCUGAUCUUGCACAUCGCCAUCUCCUCCCUCAUCCUGCAGUUACGCACGUUCUGAUGAAACGCGCUAAUAACCGCGGCAGGGUGGACGUCUGGGAUCUUGCGUUGCACCUGGCUGAAUCUUUGUAUAUACUUGCGUAGGGGCUCCCCCUCCUUCUGGACGAGCAAGUGGAGGUCACUUUCCUGGCCAUGAGGCUUGUGGCCACCCGUGAAGGCGCCGACAAACUGAUGGCACAGGUCCGCCCAUGAGGAGAUGGAGCCGUCCGGCAAGUGCAUGAGCCAAGAUCUGAUGUUGGGCUUGAGUACCAGCGGGAAGUAGUUGGCGAGGAUCUUCUCGUCGCGCCCUCCGGCAGCCUGCACUGCGAUGGUGUAGAUGCUGAGGAACUCCGACGGGUGUAUCCUGCCGUCAUACUUCUCGGGCACGUCUGGCUUGAAAUUCUUGGUUUUGGGCCACUGGACUUGCCGCAACUCGCGGGUGAACGCAGGGCAACCUGCCGCGUACGGCAAGUCGCCUGGUUCUCCGGGUGCGUGCGCGUCGACAGCGGGCCCAGCGCGCUGGUCAGAUUGACGUCGCGCUUCUCUCCGGCGCUCGAUGCGGGUACGAGCGUCUUCGUGUUGCCGUUCUUGGAGGACGUGGCGUUGAUCGCGGCGAGUUCGCGGGUUCGACGAUGCGGUGGAGUCGCCGUCGGGGUUGGUCCGGCGAGCCGGCGAUCUUGGCCUUCGGGGCUGGGAGUGCACAGAGGUGGCGCCCCCAGCGGUCUUGUCGGCGUCGGCUUGCGCCUGGGCGCCUUGCCGGGGCCUCGACGCGCUCGGUCGCCGGGGUUUGUCGCCGUUGGCGAAGCCGAUGAGGCUGUAAAUGGUCAUCCUCCAGUCGUCGAUCUUGUGCGGCGCCGGAGGGUAGUCUGGAAGCAGCUGGGCUCGGGUCAGCGCUUCCUCUACUGUCUUGGGUGGCGGUGGUGAUGAACGGCGCAAAGAGCGGGAGGUGCUUGGACUCCCAACUGGAUUGGGAGGUACCACACCCCGUCUGGGCGACCGUAUCUCGCUCGCGCCAGCAUGCGGGCGUGCAUGCUGACCUCGAGCGUCCCGCGACCCACCAGGUUGGCCUUGUUCCAACGCGAGCACGGUGCUAGGAGCACCGGGGCGUUGUUGACCUUGCACCUCCUGAGAGGGGUGCGGCGUCUGCUCGGUCGCCGAUGCUUGCGGGGCCUUGUUUUUGGAUCUAGUGACGACACAAGAUCCACCGGCGGCGCCCGCUCCUCCGCCGGCGUCCACUCUGCCGCCCGUUUGCUCCGGCGGUGGUGGCAGAACCGACAUAGACGGAGCGGCCACCUCCGAAGGCUUCUUCUUCGGUGGCAUGUUGACGAUGACGUUGAUGUAGCGUGCGUGGAGACCGGAUUAGAUGCUCACGACCUCGACGCCCCCCUACCUGGCGCGCCUAAGAUGUCGGGGCUUAUCUCUGGCCUCGAGCACCUAUGGGGCACUGGGGGCUCCUUCUGGUUCGGCAAGGGAGCGGGGGUCGUGCGCAGAGCAGAUCGAGGUCGGGCGCGCGCGGGGAGACGGGCAAUCUUUACCCAGCUUCGGGGCUCUCCGGAGAGAUAACACCCCUACUGCUGCCUCAAAGAACCAGCUCGUCGGGGCGUCAUUCGCCCUCACGACUACCUCCACGUGAUACUCCUUCUUGGUGCUGUCGACCCAGUGCUCGUGGUAGGAGAAGGUGGGGACUCGAGUGAACUGGCACUUCCUGAGGCUAUCCUCAAGAAGCAUGGGAAACCCAGUGGUCAGGAAGUCCUCGGGUACGGCGGCCAUCUACAAAAAGUGGAAGGGGAAGGGUCAAUAAAGGAAUGUGACCUGUGUUUGGGAUGCUAACAUAAAACAUAGGUAUAUGGGUAAUCUAGGGGAUAGUCUCGCUCUAUCUAACGUCCAUGCUAACUAAGGCUUCCUACAGUCAGGAUGGCUCUGGUACCAGCUCUGUGGGGACCCCGACUCGCAAGUCGUGAUCACCGAAUGCACGUGUACAGUGAUCCCAGAGAUCAAUGCUCACUGAACACACAGAAGCUGGAUAACAAGAGUCUUACAUCCAUACAUACCGUCUUACACAAAUAGAGACCAACAUGGUCAAGUCUUACAUCGAUAAAGCCUUAAAGGCUGAACAUCAAAUGAAACAUAGUAGCGGAAAACGUCAUCGAUAAGUAGAACCCAUGCCAUCUGCCUUAACCCUACAGGCAUUCUGACUGGGAAACGUCCUAGUUCGCAUGAUCGUCUCCAAAGAACUCUUCUUCGAACUCCGGUUCUUCCAUGCCUGGUCAAUUAAAUAACCAGUGGCAAGCCAAUGAGUACUUUGAAUGUACUCGCAAGCAACCCAUGAUUUGGUUCAAGGUACAGUAAUGCAUGACAUAGGUAAAGUUUUGCAUAAAGCUAGUUUUGAGUGCAGGACAUGUUCAACAUCCUAUAAAGCAUGCAUCAAGAGAAUUCAAGUAACCAUGAGAACUGGUCACAGAUAUCAACAUAAAUAGAAUGGGCACCAACCCAUUUAGCAUAAACAGAGUGGGCACCAACCCAUCUCAAUCGUGUCAAGUCCUUUGACUUGAUCCAAGACAACACCAUCAUCUCACACACACCGGUUUGAAAACAAGUGGACGUAGCCCAAGAGCGGUUACCCAACUGUCCAUGACCGUGGACACGGCUAUUCGAAUAGUUUUACACUCUGCAGAGGUUGCACACUUUACCCACUAGAUCCGGGGAACUUCCGUGUCAAUCCACGACCCGCGGUACCUCAAGUACCCGGGGUAAGCACCCGAUCACUACCUUUCCCUAGACGACACUAACAUGGAGUCCACUCGAUUGGCAGUAACCCCCGUGCCCAACAUCUCACAUAACAAUUUCGUGGAGCCUUGCUCCCAUAUCCAUCACAUACCACUGGCACGGGGUACCAACGGUGUGUCCGGUGCCCCAUAAAGAUGGUCAUGGCCGCCCUACCUGGCACGACCCCGUCCCAAGAGAGAGCACCAACUCUCCCCCGUCACUAGUAAUGCGGGCUCCAAGCUAGUAUCCGACUAGGUACUCAAUAAUGCCCCUUUCCCAUAUAAGGGUAGAGUGGUCGCGCAUGUAAGGUUGGAAUAACGGUCGCAACUCCGACCAAUCCGUUUUGAAAACAACACACACCUUCCUUGGCACACCACUUCGUUAUCAAGUGGUCACCCAUCUCUUCAUCUCCCUCGGGCAUAAGUGGCACCCGACGGGGUUUUCGAAAAUACUUUUGAAAUCACUUUGCCUUCUUCACCAUGCACAAACCCAUCCCGUUUGCGUAGCAUCUACAUUUGCAUCCUAUCUACUCCCACCGGCAUAACCCUCAUAAGAAGGUAGGGCCAUGCACAAUGCAAGUAUCAACGAGGAAUGUAAUCGUGGCAACCACCCACGUGGUUCACCAUCUCGUCAUGAUUCCGAUGCAUCAUCAAUAAAGAGCUAAAAAUGACAUGCAUAUAAAGGGGUAUCAUAGUCAUGGUCAAAGGGCUGCUUGCCUUGGUUGGCUUGAUCUUCAAAGUCUUCAGGCCCCGCUCCUCCUUCUUCCUCAGCUACCUCGUCAAACACGGGAUCUAACGUCGCAAGAAAACAACGGGAAAAUAAGACAAUAAUAAAAACAGAAAAAUCAAAGUGCUCACAAAAAUGUCAACUUAUUUUUGUAAAAUACUAGAAGGAAAGCUAGGAAGGGGGCAACUUUUGGUUUUGGUUCUGGAGCAGCAAAAUAGGAGUUGUGGAUUUUCAAAGGCUUAUUUAAAUGCCAAAAACCACAUUUAAAUAUUUACAGAGAAGAAAAGGUGAUUGGAUUUGAGUGAAAGUUGCACCAUUAAAUAGGUUACAAUAUUCUAGGAAUUUAGAAAUUGGAAUCAAUGUAUUUGGAUUAAUAUUCUGCCCUGUGGAAUAUUUGGAAAUAAUACAGAAAAGGAAAAAGAAUAACGGCGCUGUGCUACUGGGCCAGAGAGGCCACAGCAGCAGCAGGCCCAGGGGGAAAACCCAGCCCACGCGGCCGCCACGUCGAAGGCGUAAAGGCUGAAUACGCCUUCAGCCGACGGCGGGUCGGUGCGCGCGCGCGCGCACGUUUUAAACCUGACGGGUGGAGCCCACCCGUCAGGGCGUGAGGCUGACUGGCCGGCCCCACGGCGGCCGUCGUCUACCUCCGGCCAGAGGCGACGGCGAGCUCGCCGGCGGCGAUACAGGGCACGGGAAGGGGCGCGGAGGCUACCGUUGGACUCAGGAGCGAGUCGCGGUUCUGGUGGUGGUGGAGACGGUCGCCGGGGUGGCCUGCUUCGCCGGCGACGAGGUCCCGCGGCGGAGGUGCUUCGGGCGCCGGUGGCUCCGGCCGUUUCCGGCUGCAAAACGAGGGGGAAAGAGAGGGGAAAGCAUCAGUGAGGCGAGGGGAGUCCAGUUCGAGAGAGAAUAGGGGCGGAGGAGGCCUGUACCCGCAGAUCGACGGUGACCCGAGGCGGCGGAGCUCGAGCUCGAUCUCGAGCUCGGGCGGUUCUGGAGAGAAGUGGGUGGUUCCGGGGGUGGAUUGGGUGUGUGGAGGAGUGACAGGGAGGAAGAGAGAGGCUCGGGAGCGCCUUAAAUAGGCUGGCCGCGGUUCACCGUGGGCGUGGCCUACGGGCGCCCGCGGGAUCAGCUCUGGAGGCCGUGGGAGAGGAGUAGGAGCUGUCCACGGCGCUUGUGGGGAUGGAGUAGGGCGCCAGGGAGAAGGAGAGAGAGCGGGGGAGGGUUCUGGCGCCCGCGCGUGUGAGGCCGGCCAUUGGCCGAGCCGGGCGGCGUCGGGCACGCGCUGCAGGAGGGGAGAGAGAGGGGGAGACAACGGGGACUGCACGGCGGCGUGUCGCAGACGUCGAGGCACAUCAUCUGGCGCGAUGGGAAGGCACGAGGCGGUCGGGAGGCGCGGUGUCAACGGUCGGCGCUCUGGCAGGCGCUCCAGAGCGCGACUUUGGCCGGCAUCCGCGGUUUUUCCGCGGCGCGCGCGCGUCCUUUUCUGUCUGGAAGCUACAGUGGCAGGGGACAAGGCCAGGGAAGGGCCUGGGAUGCUCUGGGGUGCAGAAGGGAGAGAGAGUGGCUGUGAGAGGGGGAAGAAACUGUUGUCCAGAGAGGACAAACGUGAUUCCCCCCUUCCUCCACAUUGCUUCCUCGGGUAGAAAAGUGUCUAAGUGACAGAGGGGGGUGAGGAGGGGUUGUGGCAAAAAGGUGAACUCAAGGAGAUUAGUGAAAGUGGCAAAAAUAGGCUUUAUAGUAUUUUGCCAGAAGGUGUUUGAUGGAGUUUUGGUUAAGCUAAUGAUUCCCACUGGCCAAGAUACUACAAGGGGUGAAAUGUCACAUAUAUUUAGGGCCUUCCACCCAUUUUGAGCUUAAUAGGACAAAGUUGCCAAUGCAACUCUUGCAAACCCUAGAAAUGGGCAGAAAUGGAUUUGUGUAGAUCCAGUGGAGUAGAUCAUUUCUCCUUGAUGCACCACUUGGUGUGGUGGCCUCAUUUGAUCACAUGAUCAGGCUCACCAAAGUUGGGGUCUUGGAGAAAAAGUUGGUAGUGCAAAGUGAUUCAAACUUGAUUCUGGUCAGAGAGGGUUUUGAGGCACUUUGACCAAGAUUUCCUCUUCUCCAACCUGUGCCAUUUGGUCCAGAUGCAUCAUUAGACCAAUGAAGCAUGUCCACCAAGUUUGAGCACAUUUGGACAUACUUGGCAAUGUAAAGUUGAUCAAACUUUAGAAUGGACAGAAAUAGUUUUGAGGGGUUUUGAUGGUGUUAUCUUGUUCUCCAAGUCAUGAGACUUGGCAAGAUCAUCUAAUAUGUCAUAUGUGACAUGAUAGAAUUUUCCUGGAAUUUUUGGAGGAUAAUUCCUUUGUAAAUAUUUCAAAAGCUUGAAAUAUCCAGAAAGGGUUUUAGAGGGAUUUGACCAAUAUUUGGAACAUGACCAGGUGCCGAAACUCUUAUAUAUGGACAAUAUAUGUCCUAUGAGUUUCCCUAAAUUUUGUCAAAUAUUUUUGAAACAGUAAAGUAAUUUUUUCCUAUUAAAGACCAUUUCUGGCCUUAAGGAAAAGCCUUUAAAUAAAAUAGAACAGUAAUUUUUAAAAUUAUAUUUUUGUGGUUCCUGGGCAUCCUAUAUCUAAUAGGAGUCAAAUAUAUUUUUGGAAAGAUUUUUACUGCCCUUAAUCAAGUACUUGCAGUGCAAACCUCAAUUCAGGGGUUUUUGGAAAACUAAUUUUUGAAAAUACUUUCUGGCCAAAUUAUUUUUGUAAGAAAAUUCUAUAUAGCACUAUUCACAUGGCAUGGUCAUUGGUCAGGAGCUUGGGGUAAGGAGAUGGAAUAAAGAGGGUAGAGUAGUUGACUUCAAGAAGCACUUGAAAAGAAACACAAGAGAGAAAACCAACUCCAAAUAAAAGCCAAAUAAUGCAAAAAGUUUUUGUUGGUCCAAAUUUUCAUGCUUUAUAAAUGAAAAUGAGAUGUUACAAAAUGCAGGGUGUGACAGACCUACCCCCCUUACAAGAAUCUCGUCCCCGAGAUUCCUAAACUAGGCUUUAAAGAGAUACGGAAAUUCGGAUCUAAGGUAGUCUUCACGCUCCCAAGUUGCUUCUGCUUCGGUGUGAUUGCUCCAUUGGACUUUGAAGUACUUGAUGGUGCGGCUUCGAGUGCGUCGUUCAGCCUCAUCCAGAAUGCAGAUGGGCCUCUCACGAUAAGUCAAAUCAGGUUGAAGAUCAAUGGCUUGGUGAUUGACGUGUUUGUAGAGGUCGGGCUUGUCUGGAACUUGGAGACACUUCCGGAGUUGUGACACGUGGAACACGUUGUGCACAUCAGAAAGUUCAGGUGGGAGUUCCAACUGGUAAGCCACUUCUCCUCGUCGCUCAGUGAUCUUGAAGGGGCCCAUGUAUCUCGGAGCGAGCUUUCCUUUGACAUGAAAGCGCUGGGCUCCUUUGAGAGGGGUGACCCGGAGAUAGACAUGGUCUCCAACUCGGAAGUUUAUGUCUCUGCGACGUGAGUCCGCAUAGCUCUUCUGCCUUGACUUGGCAGACUUCAGACGCUCUCGGACAAGCUGGACUUGCUCUUCUGCUUCGCGAAGGAUAUCAGGCCCAAAGACAAGUCCUUCUCCGGUCUCCGACCAGUUGAGAGGUGUAUGGCACUUCCGCCCGUAUAACACUUCAAAUGGUGCCAUCUGAAGGCUGGCCUGAUAACUGUUGUUGUAAGAGAACUCGGCGAAAGGGAGGCAAUCUUCCCACUUAGCUCCAUAAGCUAAGACACAGGCUCGGAGCAUGUCUUCGAGUAUUUGAUUCACUCGCUCGGUCUGACCUCCGGUCUGUGGGUGGAAAGCAGUGCUGAAGGACAACUUGGUCCCCAUGGCCUCCUGGAAUUUCUUCCAAAACCUUGAGGUGAACUGGGUUCCUCGAUCUGACACAAUCUCCUUGGGAACACCAUGAAGGCUCACAAUCCGGUUGAUGUAGAGACUGGCUAACUGGUUCCCCUUGUAGGUUGUCUUGACAGGAAUGAAGUGGGCCACCUUGGUCAAAUGGUCAACUAUGACCCAGAUGGAGUCAUGUCCCUUGUUUGACCUAGGUAGUCCAGUGAUGAAAUCCAUUCCGAUCUUAUCCCAUUUCCACUCGGGAACCUUGAGUGGUUGGAGUAAUCCAGCAGGUCGCUGAUGUUCAGCUUUGACCCUCUGGCAUACGUCACACUUGGCAACAUAGGUGGCAAUCUCCCUUUUCAUCCCGUGCCACCAAAAUCUUUCCUUCAGGUCUUGAUACAUCUUGGUGCCUCCAGGGUGGAUGGAAUAUGGGCUGUCAUGAGCUUCUUGCAAGAUCAGGUUCUUGAGCUCAACCUUGUUGGGCACGCAGAUGCGAUUCCCAAACCACACAAUUCCUUCCUCAUCCUCCGAGAAUCCUGAGGCUUUGCCUGCCUUGAUCUUCCUCUUGAUGCCUUCAAUACUCUCAUGCCCCUUCUGAGCUUUCUUGAUAUCAUCCAUCAAGGUAGGCUUAACUUCGAGGUUGGCCAAGAAUCCUGGUGCAACCAGUUCCAACCCGAAGCUUUCGAGUUCUCCAUACAAGACGGGUAGCUUGUGUUUUAGCAUAGCAUUCAAGGAGCAAGCCUUCCUGCUCAACGCGUCCGCUACCACAUUAGCCUUUCCAGGGUGGUAUUGAACACUGAGGUCAUAAUCCUUUAUCAACUCCAGCCAUCUUCUUUGCCUCAUGUUCAAUUCCCUUUGAGUGAAAAUAUACUUCAGACUUUUGUGAUCCGUGUAUAUCUCACAUCGCUUCCCCAAGAGAUAAUGUCGCCAAGUCUUCAGGGCAUGAACCACUGCUGCUAGCUCAAGGUCAUGAGUAGCAUAGUUCUCUUCGUGCGGUCGUAGUUGCCUUGAAAGGUAGGCCACGACUCUGCCUUCUUGCAUCAGAACACCUCCCAGUCCGAUUCUUGACGCAUCACAAUAUAUCACAAACUCCUUGUGUAUAUCUGGUGUGGCCAGAACUGGAGCGGUGGUUAGCCUCUUCUUCAGCUCCUGGAAGCUCUCUUCGCACUUCGGCGUCCAUUCAAACUUCUUGUCCUUCUUCAAGAGCUGAGUCAUGGGUCGGGCAAUGCUCGAAAACCCUUCAACGAACUUGCGGUAAUAUCCCGCGAGUCCGAGGAAGCUUCUGACUUCCUUCACAUUGCUCGGGGAUUGCCAUUCAGUCACGGCUUCAAUCUUAGCAGGGUCGACUGACAAUCCCUCUUCAGUUAGAACAUGACCCAGAAAUCCAACUUCACGCAGCCAGAAUUCACACUUGCUGAACUUGGCAUACAGUUGGUGCUCUCGAAGCUUGUCUAGGACCAUCCUCAAGUGUUGCUCGUGCUCUUCUACCGACUUCGAGAAGACAAGGAUGUCAUCAAUGAAGACAACGACAAACUUGUCCAAAUAUUCCAUGAAGACCUUAUUCAUGAGAUACAUGAAGUAAGCUGGGGCAUUGGUCAAUCCAAAGGACAUGACCGUGCAUUCAUACAAGCCAUAUCUGGUUACGAAUGCCGUCUUCGGAAUAUCUUGGGGUCUGAUCUUCAGUUGGUAGUACCCAGAUCUGAGGUCGAUCUUGGAGAACACCUUGGCCCCAUUGAGUUGAUCAAACAGAUCUUCAAUCUUGGGAAGUGGGUACUUGUUCUUGAUUGUAACCUCAUUAAGGGAGUGGUAGUCAAUGCAUAAGCGGAUGGUACCGUCCUUCUUUGCCACAAACAGAACAGGUGAUCCCCAAGGGGAGGCACUAGGGCGGAUAAAUCCCUUCCUCAACUGCUCUUCCAGCUGCUUCUUCAAUUCUGCUAACUCCUCCGAUCCCAUCCUAUAAGGCUUCUUAUAGAUGGGUCCUGCUCCGGGUAUGAGCUCGAUGAUGAACUCAAUGUCUCGGUCAGGAGGCAUUCCUGGUAGCUCAUCAGGAAAAACAUCGGGAUACUCGCAUACUACCGGCACUUGAUCCAAUCCAACUUCAGUCAGACAGUUGACUUGGUUGGCUUGAGCAGAAGAGGGGUUGGAGGCAAAUUUGACUUCGACUCCUCGGUCAUUGGUCAUAGUGACCGUCCGGUUGGCGCAAUCAAUCAAGCCUUCGUGCUUGCUGAGCCAAUUCAUUCCCAAGAUCACAUCCAAGAAUUGUGAUUUUAGGAUGAUAAGGUCUGCUAGGAAGUCUACCCCGUUAAUGGUAAUCCCGACUCCUUUACAUCCUAUCUUGGCUCUCAUCUCUGCCCCGGGGGUUUGUACAACCAUAGGGUUAUUCAGGGGUGUAGGGGUCAUGCCACUUUUUAAUGCAAAACUUUGGGUGACAAAAGAAUGCGUGGCUCCAGAAUCAAACAAAACAGUUGCGGGUGCUGAAUUGACAAGGAACGUACCCAGCACGACGUCCGGGUCUUCCUGGGCUUCUUCCGCGGUGACAUGAUUCACACGACCCCUGCCAUUGUUGGGCAGGUUGCGGGGAGCUUGGUUCCUCGGUGGCAUUCCACGGCCUUGUCCUGGGUUCUGCACAUUGGGGCGCGGGGCGUCGGGCUUCUUGUUGGGGCAAUUCUUGGAGUAGUGCCCCGGCUGUCCACAUCCGAAACAAGUGACUUGGUUGGGGACGACGCCCUUGCCAGCAUUGUUAUUGGGGUUGUUGUAAGCUGGCCUGGGGUUGGCAUACUGCUGAGGUGGAUAGUUGGUGCGGGGUGCAGGAGCUCUUGGUUGCUGAUAGGUUGGCUUGACCGGGGCUGGCUGCCACGGACGAGGCUUCUGGUUGCUGGAGCUACCCUUGCUGAUCAUCUUGCGCUUACGAGUGUCAUCCAAGGCACGCCGCUUGUCCUCAAGCAUGAGUGCCUUGUUCACCAGAUCAGGAAAGGUUGGGCAGUCUCGACGAAAGUGGGUGGUGCAUGCUUCUUGAAUUCCACCAGUGUGGAACGUCCAUGGCCGUGCCCCGCCGGCUGGCGGUUGACAGCCUGAGCAAUCAUCUGGAGGGCUGCAGUGUUGGCUUGGCGCUCCUCUCGAAAGGCUUGGAGAAGCUGAGCCAUAUCCAUGCUUGGAGGAGGUGGUGGUGGUGGAGUCUGUCCUUGGGCUUGGUCCUGGCUGGCUCCGGCCUCAGCAGAACCUCCGGCUUCUUGCGGCUGGGUAGAGGUACCAGUACGUGUUACAACAGGCAUCCUGUUGGAGCGGUCAAGGUCUCAUGAUUGGGAACAACAAUGAGGGAAAGCAGUAGAGAUGGAAUGCCUAGUAAGGGGGUGGUGUGACACAAUUUAAGUAAAACAAAGGCCAGAAGGGCCAAACUCAUGCAUUAAACCAAAUGGGGAAUGUAGUCGUUUACAAGUUCCCGAAGGGAAAGUACGACUUCAUCAAAGCAAGUUGAAAGCAAACACAACAUAACAUGGUUUCAUAAGAACCAUUACAAGGACUCGACUUCGCAAAAGGGGUACACGACCUAUCCUACCAUAGGCUACGAGCUAGCCUAUCCUAGUCCUGAACGGAGUCUAAGUGGUGGAAUGCUCGGUCGGGUAUUCUGGCUCCUCUGGGUCUUCCUCCUCGUCUUCAUCUGUCUUGGUCUCCUCAUCGCUUGAGGAAGCGGGGGAGUGAAGGAGCUGAACACGGCGCUGCUUUGCUGGUGGCGUCUUGAAGAGGUUGCGGUACUCCUUUGCCGUCAUACGGCGUGGCUGAGGUGCUCCCUCGGCAGGUGCGACCUGUGGGGGUCGUCCGCCUCGAUAAGCUACUGCGGGCUGUCCAGGGGGUGCUCCAUCCUUCUUGAUCCUGUCCGCCUUCAUCUGAACUAUGCGGAGGAGCUCCUUGGUCUCGCGGAGUUCCUUCCGAAGCUCCGUCGACUCCGAGGCCAGGUGCUGUGCCAGACUGUCGGCACACAAGCUGAAGUAGGUCUGGAAGCGGAGAGAAAGUCCCUUGUCCAAGGGUGGUGCUGGUGCGCUGCUCUCGUCAUCACCUUCCUUACGAUAAGGCAGGUAACGAGUGGCUGGCUCUCUCGCCAUCUCUGGCAGGAGAUCCCGGAGGCGGGUCAGCGCCUUGAGGGCAGCAGUCUCCACGGCGAGAAGCAGCGUCGCCAUCUGGGGUCCCUCAAAGAACCAGCUCGUCGGGGCGUCAUUCGCCCUCACGACUACCUCCACGUGAUACUCCUUCUUGGUGCUGUCGACCCAGUGCUCGUGGUAGGAGAAGGUGGGGACUCGAGUGAACUGGCACUUCCUGAGGCUAUCCUCAAGAAGCAUGGGAAACCCAGUGGUCAGGAAGUCCUCGGGUACGGCGGCCAUCUACAAAAAGUGGAAGGGGAAGGGUCAAUAAAGGAAUGUGACCUGUGUUUGGGAUGCUAACAUAAAACAUAGGUAUAUGGGUAAUCUAGGGGAUAGUCUCGCUCUAUCUAACGUCCAUGCUAACUAAGGCUUCCUACAGUCAGGAUGGCUCUGGUACCAGCUCUGUGGGGACCCCGACUCGCAAGUCGUGAUCACCGAAUGCACGUGUACAGUGAUCCCAGAGAUCAAUGCUCACUGAACACACAGAAGCUGGAUAACAAGAGUCUUACAUCCAUACGUACCGUCUUACACAAAUAGAGACCAACAUGGUCAAGUCUUACAUCGAUAAAGCCUUAAAGGCUGAACAUCAAAUGAAACAUAGCAGCGGAAAACGUCAUCGAUAAGUAGAACCCAUGCCAUCUGCCUUAACCCUACAGGCAUUCUGACUGGGAAACGUCCUAGUUCGCAUGAUCGUCUCCAAAGAACUCUUCUUCGAACUCCGGUUCUUCCAUGCCUGGUCAAUUAAAUAACCAGUGGCAAGCCAAUGAGUACUUUGAAUGUACUCGCAAGCAACCCAUGAUUUGGUUCAAGGUACAGUAAUGCAUGACAUAGGUAAAGUUUUGCAUAAAGCUAGUUUUGAGUGCAGGACAUGUUCAACAUCCUAUAAAGCAUGCAUCAAGAGAAUUCAAGUAACCAUGAGAACUGGUCACAGAUAUCAACAUAAAUAGAAUGGGCACCAACCCAUUUAGCAUAAACAGAGUGGGCACCAACCCAUCUCAAUCGUGUCAAGUCCUUUGACUUGAUCCAAGACAACACCAUCAUCUCACACACACCGGUUUGAAAACAAGUGGACGUAGCCCAAGAGCGGUUACCCAACUGUCCAUGACCGUGGACACGGCUAUUCGAAUAGUUUUACACUCUGCAGAGGUUGCACACUUUACCCACUAGAUCCGGGGAACUUCCGUGUCAAUCCACGACCCGCGGUACCUCAAGUACCCGGGGUAAGCACCCGAUCACUACCUUUCCCUAGACGACACUAACAUGGAGUCCACUCGAUUGGCAGUAACCCCCGUGCCCAACAUCUCACAUAACAAUUUCGUGGAGCCUUGCUCCCAUAUCCAUCACAUACCACUGGCACGGGGUACCAACGGUGUGUCCGGUGCCCCAUAAAGAUGGUCAUGGCCGCCCUACCUGGCACGACCCCGUCCCAAGAGAGAGCACCAACUCUCCCCCGUCACUAGUAAUGCGGGCUCCAAGCUAGUAUCCGACUAGGUACUCAAUAAUGCCCCUUUCCCAUAUAAGGGUAGAGUGGUCGCGCAUGUAAGGUUGGAAUAACGGUCGCAACUCCGACCAAUCCGUUUUGAAAACAACACACACCUUCCUUGGCACACCACUUCGUCAUCAAGUGGUCACCCAUCUCUUCAUCUCCCUCGGGCAUAAGUGGCACCCGACGGGGUUUUCGAAAAUACUUUUGAAAUCACUUUGCCUUCUUCACCAUGCACAAACCCAUCCCGUUUGCGUAGCAUCUACAUUUGCAUCCUAUCUACUCCCACCGGCAUAACCCUCAUAAGAAGGUAGGGCCAUGCACAAUGCAAGUAUCAACGAGGAAUGUAAUCGUGGCAACCACCCACGUGGUUCACCAUCUCGUCAUGAUUCCGAUGCAUCAUCAAUAAAGAGCUAAAAAUGACAUGCAUAUAAAGGGGUAUCAUAGUCAUGGUCAAAGGGUGCUUGCCUUGGUUGGCUUGAUCUUCAAAGUCUUCAGGCCCUGCUCCUCCUUCUUCCUCAGCUACCUCGUCAAACACGGGAUCUAACGUCGCAAGAAAACAACGGGAAAAUAAGACAAUAAUAAAAACAGAAAAAUCAAAGUGCUCACAAAAAUGUCAACUUAUUUUUGUAAAAUACUAGAAGGAAAUCUAGGAAGGGGGCAACUUUUGGUUUUGGUUCUGGAGCAGCAAAAUAGGAGUUGUGGAUUUUCAAAGGCUUAUUUAAAUGCCAAAAACCACAUUUAAAUAUUUACAGAGAAGAAAAGGUGAUUGGAUUUGAGUGAAAGUUGCACCAUUAAAUACGUUACAAUAUUCUAGGAAUUUAGAAAUUGGAAUCAAUGUAUUUGGAUUAAUAUUCUGCCCUGUGGAAUAUUUGGAAAUAAUACAGAAAAGGAAAAAGAAUAACGGCGCUGUGCUACUGGGCCAGAGAGGCCACAGCAGCAGCAGGCCCAGGGGGAAAACCCAGCCCACGCGGCCGCCACGUCGAAGGCGUAAAGGCUGAAUACGCCUUCAGCCGACGGCGGGUCGGUGCGCGCGCGCGCGCACGUUUUAAACCUGACGGGUGGAGCCCACCCGUCAGGGCGUGAGGCUGACUGGCCGGCCCCACGGCG